AGAGAGAGACAUGCGCGCAUAUCAAUAAGCGGAGGAAAAGAAACUAACAAGGAUUCCCUUAGUAACGGCGAGUGAAGCGGGAAGAGCUCAAAUUUGAAAUCUUCAAGGUUUUACCUUGACGAAUUGUAGUUUAAAGAAGUGUUUUCUGCUGAAGUUUUGGUAAAAGUUCUUUGGAAUAGGACAUCAUAGAGGGUGAGAAUCCCGUAUUUGACCAUUAUUUUCAGCUUUGUGAUACACUUUCAAAGAGUCGGAUUGUUUGGGAAUGCAGUCCAAAAUGGGUGGUAAAUUUCAUCUAAAGCUAAAUAUUGGCGAGAGACCGAUAGCGAACAAGUACCGUGAGGGAAAGAUGAAAAGAACUUUGAAAAGAGAGUUAAACAGUACGUGAAAUUGUCAAAAGGGAAGCGUUUGACACCAGUGUUGUUUUCUCGAAAAUCAAUUAAAAAUGGCUCGAUUUUGUAUUGCUGAGACCUUAAAAGCUCACUGUACAUUUUUCGUGUCUUUUUUAAUGCACUUUUCGUUUAACAAGUCAACAUCAGUUUCUUUUGUUGUAAAAGGGUCAUUGGAAGGUGGCUUUCUUUCGGAGAAAGUGUUUAUAGCCUUUGGCCUCUGCAAUCGGAGAGACUGAGGUCUGCAGCGUAGACUCUUCGGGGUUAGAUACAUUUGUGCUAAGUUAUAGCUUUUUAUAGACAACUUGUUGACUAUAAUUAGUCUUGUAGCUUACUCGCUUACGCUAUUUUACCUACGCUUAGGAUGUUGAGUCGUAGAGCACGCAG
This 773-nucleotide ribosomal RNA is filed under the name uncultured Neocallimastigales. Its description in RNAcentral is "partial large subunit ribosomal RNA". It matches the Rfam family "Eukaryotic large subunit ribosomal RNA", at positions 23 to 634 of the family's 3401-position model. The record is from RNAcentral. Lineage: Eukaryota; Fungi; Neocallimastigomycota; Neocallimastigomycetes; Neocallimastigales.